RNAcentral lists this ribosomal RNA (400 nucleotides) under uncultured bacterium. Its description in RNAcentral is "partial 16S ribosomal RNA". It matches the Rfam family "Bacterial small subunit ribosomal RNA", at positions 338 to 735 of the family's 1533-position model. The record is from RNAcentral.
CCUACGGGGGGCAGCAGUGAGGAAUAUUGGUCAAUGGACGGGAGUCUGAACCAGCCAAGCCGCGUGCAGGAUGACGGCUCUAUGAGUUGUAAACUUCUUUUGUAAAGGAAUAAACCUGGACACGUGUACCCUGUUGAAUGUACUGUAUGAAUAAGGAUCGGCUAACUCCGUGCCAGCAGCCGCGGUAAUACGGAGGAUCCGAGCGUUAUCCGGAUUUAUUGGGUUUAAAGGGUGCGUAGGCGGAUUGAUAAGUUAGUGGUGAAAUGUUGGGGCUUAACCCGGAAACUGCCUCUAAUACUGGCAGUCUCGAGAGUAGGUGCGGUAGGCGGAAUGCGUGGUGUAGCGGUGAAAUGCUUAGAUAUCACGCAGAACUCCGAUUGCGAAGGCAGCUUACCAAUCU